This is a long non-coding RNA of Harpia harpyja (harpy eagle), 1000 nucleotides long. RefSeq lists it as uncharacterized. Lineage: Eukaryota; Metazoa; Chordata; Aves; Accipitriformes; Accipitridae. The transcript has 4 exons. The record is from RefSeq and is a predicted model, not a curated record.
GCGAUGAGUUGGCGGGUUCUCAGCCCCCGCUGCACGGCUAACGGAGGGUAUGCAGGGAGCACCGGGCAAUCCCGGCCUUCCCGAUCCAUCCGUGCACCGUCGGAGAGGAGGAGCAAGGCCGCCUGGGCCUAUUAAACAACAAUGUUUAAUGGAGGGUGAAGAGUUAUGGCCCCGCAGAGGUUCCUCCGCUCCGCAGCCGGAGGACGAGCUCCCGUUCCCCAUCACCCACGGCCCUGUCCGUGGAGAUCCCCGUCCGUCGGACCAGGUGCACCCAUAGUCACGGGGGGCUGCGAUUUUUUGGGGUGGGGGCUGUGGCUGGGCACGUGCAUCACGGCUGCCACACAAAGCAAAGCCUUCCCCGGGACCGUGCCCCGAUGCCAUGGGUCCCCCCCUCCACGGCCCCUGCGGGCACCCACCGCAGGGCAGCCCGAGCCGGCGCUGGGUGCCAAAACUGCCGAAGGUGAAUUACCUGCUGGUUCCUGAUCUUGCAGCCAUGGUGGUUUUGGAGACAGGUAAUUAAUUACCUUCUGCUUUUAAUUGCUGCUGGGGGGUCGGGAUGCUGUUGGCAGUGCCCGUGUGCCUAUGAGGGGACCGGAGGGUCGUGGGUCCGUGACUCGUGUCGGCAGCAUGGACGCGUCCUGGCUCGUGCCGGGGACUCAAAACCCUUGGGACGCGAGUCCAUCGGCUCUGGCAGCUCCCUGGAAUGAUGGAAUUAAGUUACAAGGAAGAAGAAGGAGGAUGAAGAAGGACAGUGCGCCGGGAGGCUCCGGCAAGGUGGAUGUCAAUGGAGCCACAUGGAGAAAACCCGGGAUGCCGGAUCUGGCCCGCGAUGCCUUGCCGACAUCCAACACACCCCAUCUCCCCCCCCCCCCAAAAUGCAACCCUCGCCGGGACCCGCGGGUGCUGCCCGCCGAGCCUGCGGGUUUAAGCGGCGUGUUGGCAGCCGGCGAGAUGCGUGUGUCACCCGGUGAUUAGAUGGUAUCGCCUUAUCAGCGGCAGC